RNAcentral lists this long non-coding RNA (1179 nucleotides) under Phasianus colchicus (ring-necked pheasant). Its description in RNAcentral is "lncRNA (ENSPCLG00000020564.1)". Lineage: Eukaryota; Metazoa; Chordata; Aves; Galliformes; Phasianidae. The record is from RNAcentral.
GCCACCGCACGUAAUUACGUUCCCAUUUCGCAGAGACAAUCCGAGCUUCUGGGGAAACUCCAGAAUCUUUAUAUAAACCGACAGCCAUCGUUAAGCCAACAACAGCGCGAGAACAGGAUUUUCUGCCCGCACAACCCAGCGCGGCGGUGCCUGAGGGGGCCGCAGCACGCAGGCGGGCGGCGCUGCCCGCCCCGCGCAGGCCGAAGCUCACCGGCUUUCCCUCACGGCGCACCACGACCCUCGGCGCACCAAAGCACCGCGCGCCCGCUCAGUGCGGGGCAGCCCCUCCGCCCCCCGCGCCGCGGGGCGGCCGUUGCGGAGCGGCCGUUACGAAGCGCGCGGCGCCGCCCCUCCCGCUCGGCACCCCGCCCCGCCGAGGCCGGCGCCCGGCGGCGUGGCGAGCGCUGCCGCCGGCGGUACCGAGGGGCACCGGGGGGUCCCGGAGCCUCGCGGGCCGAGGGGAGAGGCGGCCGGGCCGAGUUUAAGCGCGGCGCCGACGGCGGGGAACGGCCGGCGGCGGGAAGCGACCGCCCGGAGCCCGACGGGCGGCGGGGCCCGGGAUCCGGGAGCGGCUCCGCCGGGUUUUGCCUCGGACCCGCCUCGCCCCCCUCCCUACCGCCCUCCCUCCGCGCGGCGCGGCGCGGCCCUGUAACAAAGAACAGGCGGCAUGGAGAAGGCGGCGGCGGAGGAGGAGGAGGAGGCGGCGGGGCCGCCCUCCCGCACCGGGAGCCCUCGCCGCCGCCGCCCCCGGCCCGGCCCGGCCCCGCGAGCCCCGGGGAGCGGAGGGACGGCGGCACCGGGGAGAGAGGGGGGGGAACGGGGAGCGGAGCGCCUGGGGGGGGGAGAUCCGCGAGGACGGGGCGCGGGCGCGGGGGGAGGCGCGGGGAGCCGGCGUUACCUGCCCUGGGAAUGGCCCGAGCCGGAUCGGAUCCGGACUCCGGGUUCCGAUCCGCUCCGGAAACCACGCGCCAGCGGAAGCCGCGCCGUGCGCGGAGCGUGCUGGGAGGCGUAGUCCGCCGCCGCCGCGGGGAGCGAGGGCGGCCGUCGGUAGCGGGACGGGGCGGCGCGCGGACGCUGACCCUGACGGGAGGCCGUCGGGGCGGGAGCCGUGCCCGGAUCGGCGUGCGCCGGGCCCACUGCCGCCGGCAGCCGCCGCCACGCUGGUCGGCGCUUCCGUAG